This 605-nucleotide unclassified non-coding RNA is filed under the name uncultured bacterium. RNAcentral's name for it is "partial contains 16S ribosomal RNA, 16S-23S ribosomal RNA intergenic spacer, and 23S ribosomal RNA". The stretch from base 474 to 605 matches the Rfam family "Bacterial large subunit ribosomal RNA", at positions 1 to 131 of the family's 2925-position model. The record is from RNAcentral.
UGCGGCUGGAUCCCCUCCUUUCUAAGGAACACACUGCCUCGGUCCUAAGCGAAUGCCUUGGGGUUGCCGAGGAAGUUCCCACGUCGAUCACUGGUUAUUCGGGCGCACAGUCGCCGUCCGACCCCGGCGUACCAGCCGGUUACCUCGUGUAACUGGGCCGUCGCCGGCACCACCGGACCCUGUGAUGUCCCGGACUUUCACUGCUCUGUUUUGAGGAAGCGACCCCGAUAGGUGUCGAUUUCUUCGGGCCGCGCGCUCUGUGUCCCUCCGUCGAGCCCAGACUCGUUCUGGUGAUCCGGGGCCACACAGAUCGCGACCUCGAGACGUGUCGCGUCUCGGCGCGCUCCUUGAGAACUGCAUAGCGAGCACGAGCGUCUUAGUGCACUGCAGUUUCCUUACUGCGGUGCUACUAAAUACACGAACAUGGCUCCUUCGUCUUCCUAUAACCAGCGGAAGACGUGAGGAGUGUGCGAUUUCAAGCUACAAAGAGCCAACGGUGGAUGCCUUGGCGCCAGAUGCCGAUGAAGGACGUGGGUGGCUGCGAAAAGCCACGGGGAGCUGCCGACCAAGCUUCGAUCCGUGGAUGUCCGAAUGGGGAAACCCGG